AGCGAACGCUGGCGGCAGGCUUAACACAUGCAAGUCGAACGCCCCGCAAGGGGAGUGGCAGACGGGUGAGUAACACGUGGGAACGUACCCUUUGGUUCGGAAUAACUUGGGGAAACUCAAGCUAAUACCGGAUAAGCCCUUAUGGGGAAAGGUUUACUGCCGAAGGAUCGGCCCGCGUCUGAUUAGCUAGUUGGUGAGGUAAUGGCUCACCAAGGCGACGAUCAGUAGCUGGUCUGAGAGGAAGAUCAGCCACACUGGGACUGAGACACGGCCCAGACUCCUACGGGAGGCAGCAGUGGGGAAUAUUGGACAAUGGGGUCAACCCUGAUCCAGCCAUGCCGCGUGAGUGAUGAAGGCCUUAGGGUUGUAAAGCUCUUUUACCCGGGACGAUAAUGACUGUACCGGGAGAAUAAGCCCCGGCUAACUUCGUGCCAGCCGCCGCGGUAA
Molecule: ribosomal RNA, 447 nt
Filed under: uncultured bacterium
Lineage: Bacteria
Description: partial 16S ribosomal RNA
Rfam family: Bacterial small subunit ribosomal RNA
Source: RNAcentral